GGGAGGGCGCGUAUGAUUAUAUAGUAUGUUUUGUAAGCGCCCACCCCGGCGCCGAAGAGUAUCUGGUCUGAGAGGAUGAUCACCCACACUGGGCCUGAGACACGGCCCAGACUCCUACUGUAGGCAGCAGUGGGGAAUUUUCCGCAAUGGGCGAAAGCCUGAAGGAUCAAUACCGCGUGAGGGAGGAAGGCUCUUGGGUUGUAAACCUUUUUUCUCAAGAAAAAAAAAAAUGACGGUACCUGAAGAAUAAGCAUCGGCUAACUCCGUGCCAGCAGCCGCGGUAAUACGGAGGAUGCAAGCGUUAUCCGGAAUGAUUGGGCGUAAAGGGUCCGCAGGUGGCUAUGUAAGUCUGCUGUUAAAGAAUGAGGCUUAACCUCAUCAGAGCAGUGGAAACUACACAGCUAGAGUGCGUUCGGGGUAGAGGGAAUUCCUGGUGUAGCGGUGAAAUGCAUAUAUAUGAAGAAAAACACCAGUGGCGAAAGCUCUCUACUAGGCCGCAACUGACACUGAGGGACGAAAG
RNAcentral lists this ribosomal RNA (520 nucleotides) under uncultured cyanobacterium. Its description in RNAcentral is "bacterial SSU rRNA". It matches the Rfam family "Bacterial small subunit ribosomal RNA", at positions 225 to 759 of the family's 1533-position model. Lineage: Bacteria; Bacillati; Cyanobacteriota. The record is from RNAcentral.